Molecule: ribosomal RNA, 445 nt
Filed under: uncultured bacterium
Lineage: Bacteria
Description: bacterial SSU rRNA
Rfam family: Bacterial small subunit ribosomal RNA
Source: RNAcentral
ACCAGACUCCUACGGGAGGCAGCAGUGGGGAAUAUUGCACAACGGGGGAAACCCUGAUGCAGCGACGCCGCGUGAGUGAAGAAGUAUUUCGGUAUGUAAAGCUCUCUCAGCAGGGAAGAUAAUGACGGUACCUGAGUAAGAAGCCCCGGCUAACUACGUGCCAGCAGCCGCGGUAAUACGUAGGGGGCAAGCGUUAUCCGGAUUUACUGGGUGUAAAGGGAGCGUAGACGGCAUGGCAAGUCUGAAGUGAAAGCCCGGGGCUCAACCGCGGGACUGCUUUGGAAACUGUUAAGCUGGAGUGCAGGAGAGGUAAGUGGAAUUCCUAGUGUAGCGGUGAAAUGCGUAGAUAUUAGGAGGAACACCAGUGGCGAAGGCGGCUUACUGGACUGUAACUGACGUUGAGGCUCGAAAGCGUGGGGAGCAAACAGGAUUAGAUACCCCGGUA